CUAACGGCUAACUACCUGUGUGAUGGCCCAGAGCUGCAGCAGAGAGGAGACUGACGUCCCUCUUUAUCCUGAAACAGCGUCCGCACAUUUGAUUGGCUCUAGCUUCCAAAGUUUCUCCUGCUGUUACAAAGUGGCAGGAAGUGGAGCUGCUGCUGGAGAUAAAGCACAGAGCUGGGUGGUUACAGGUGUGACUCAGGUACCUUCUUCCUGUUUACAGCAGGAGGAGCCAGGAAGAGCUGGAGCUACAGCACGCCGUCGAUCACGCAGAAGAAGAAAAACACAACUGGACAAAAAUCACCUCGCAGUGUUUUAAACUAAAGAGGAACCCAGCAAUCAGCCCACAGCCUACGAGCAGCAGCGGGGGACAGUGGGGAGGAAGAACUGUCUUCAAACAGGAAGAAACUUGAAAGAGCUUGCAGAAUAAAACGUGAAUAA
Long non-coding RNA from Oreochromis aureus, 435 nucleotides. RefSeq lists it as uncharacterized. The record is from RefSeq and is a predicted model, not a curated record. The transcript has 3 exons. Lineage: Eukaryota; Metazoa; Chordata; Actinopteri; Cichliformes; Cichlidae.